AGACAAACACUAGGCGAUACGAGCCGGCGCAAGGACUAACUUUGCCUCAUAACGAAGCCGUGACAAGCUAUUUAGUGCGGGCUUUGUCGACAAAUCCAAAUCUUCAUGAUGCUGACAAAGACAACAUUGUGUCUGCCUGCAAGACGUAUUACGAAACCUUACACAGGAG
Neoarius graeffei (lesser salmon catfish) is the source of this 169-nucleotide long non-coding RNA. RefSeq lists it as uncharacterized. Lineage: Eukaryota; Metazoa; Chordata; Actinopteri; Siluriformes; Ariidae. The transcript has 3 exons. The record is from RefSeq and is a predicted model, not a curated record.